This 663-nucleotide ribosomal RNA is filed under the name uncultured bacterium. RNAcentral describes it as "bacterial SSU rRNA". It matches the Rfam family "Bacterial small subunit ribosomal RNA", at positions 107 to 754 of the family's 1533-position model. The record is from RNAcentral.
UGAGUAACACGUGGGGAACCUGCCCCUAAGUCUGGGAUACCAUUUGGAAACAGGUGCUAAUACCGGAUAAUAAAGCAGAUCGCAUGAUCAGCUUUUGAAAGGCGGCGUAAGCUGUCGCUAAGGGAUGGCCCCGCGGUGCAUUAGCUAGUUGGUAAGGUAACGGCUUACCAAGGCGACGAUGCAUAGCCGAGUUGAGAGACUGAUCGGCCACAUUGGGACUGAGACACGGCCCAAACUCCUACGGGAGGCAGCAGUAGGGAAUCUUCCACAAUGGACGCAAGUCUGAUGGAGCAACGCCGCGUGAGUGAAGAAGGUUUUCGGAUCGUAAAGCUCUGUUGUUGGUGAAGAAGGAUAGAGGUAGUAACUGGCCUUUAUUUGACGGUAAUCAACCAGAAAGUCACGGCUAACUACGUGCCAGCAGCCGCGGUAAUACGUAGGUGGCAAGCGUUGUCCGGAUUUAUUGGGCGUAAAGCGAGCGCAGGCGGAAAAAUAAGUCUAAUGUGAAAGCCCUCGGCUUAACCGAGGAACUGCAUCGGAAACUGUUUUUCUUGAGUGCAGAAGAGGAGAGUGGAACUCCAUGUGUAGCGGUGGAAUGCGUAGGUAUAUGGAAGAAACACCAGUGGCGAAGGCGGCUCUCUGGUCUGCAACUGACGCCUGAGGCUC